Molecule: long non-coding RNA, 721 nt
Organism: Cavia porcellus (domestic guinea pig)
Lineage: Eukaryota; Metazoa; Chordata; Mammalia; Rodentia; Caviidae
Exons: 4
Source: RefSeq, a predicted model, not a curated record
CCCUCUCUGUGCCUAUACAAGGGCCCCAAAGGCAUCGGAUUCCCCUGGAAUUCCCUUGGAAUAGCUGGAAUUCCCAGGGCAGCUGCAUUGGACCUUAAACUGACUCUCCCAGAAAUGGUGAAUCCACAGAUCAACAAAUAUUUCAACUUCAAAAUAAAAACUAUAUGUUUUGGUGCUCUCAUCAUGUGCUUCCCAAUAUGUGUUCUUAUUUGUUCACAAUAUGUGUGCAAGAAGAGAUGUUGCAAAAAAUGUAUUUCCUUAACAUUUAUGUAACGACCUAAUUCGUCCCUUUUGAUCAAUUUUGGCUCAAAGUUUGCAUUAUCUAAAAAUAAAAUAGCUACACUUGCUUUUCUCUGGGGUCUUAUGGCAUGGAGAAUUUUAUCCAUCUUUUGACUAUUAGUCUAUGAAUAUCGUUUUGGGUUAUAUGUUUCUUGAUUGCAUCAUAUUGUUGGAUCUUACUUUUUGAUCCAUUCAGCCAGCCCAUUUCUUUUGAUUGAUAAAAUGGAAAAUGGUGAGUUUCAACUCUUGAUCCACUUUGAUUGAAGAUAUUACUAAGUUGAACCAUAUUUUAGGCAAUUAAAAGACACAAAGGGUAUCUUACUCUUCCUCAUUUAGUGAAUAAAUAAGACAUUACCUCUAGUGAAACUACGCAGCUUGCAAUUUGCUUCAAUUUCAUAUAAAUUCAAAAUAUUUCCUGUUGGCUUUUCAACUGGCAAGUUUU